UGCGCGACGGAAUGCGCUGGUCGGCAGGGAGCUUGAGCUAAGGGAGCAUCAGGAGGGUGGCAGCCGGGAUGGCUGGGUCAUGGAAGGCAUUAGGGAUAGAAAAAGUGGGGGCGGAUCAUUCCGCCCCUUUUUUC
This 134-nucleotide small RNA is filed under the name Pseudomonas saudimassiliensis. Lineage: Bacteria; Pseudomonadati; Pseudomonadota; Gammaproteobacteria; Pseudomonadales; Pseudomonadaceae. The record is from RNAcentral.